Non-coding RNA from Zonotrichia albicollis (white-throated sparrow), 406 nucleotides. The record is from RefSeq and is a predicted model, not a curated record. NCBI's taxonomy places the organism in Eukaryota, Metazoa, Chordata, Aves, Passeriformes, Passerellidae.
CGGGAUAGGGGUUGGGAAGGGACACAGAUCCACCCGGCACCGUUCUGGGAAUCCUGUGCCACUGACGCUGAUCCCACUUUGUUUCCACAGGGAGGAGGGACAGGAAUGGAUACCGGCAGCCGGAAGGGACAUGGGAACCAGCAUCUAGACCACAGGAAUCACUGCCUGAGCAAUCCACGGAGCUGGAUCCAGCCCCUUCCCUCUUCUCAGGAAAUCUGAGAGCUGCCACCGGAGCUGAUCCUGCUGCUCCCACUCACCUCAUAACUUUUCCUGACAAAUCGGUUUCCGAUAUUCCAGUGUUUUAAAGGCAAGAACCACAAAUAUUCAUAAUUCUUCACUUCUGGUGUGAAAUGAUCCUGCUUUGGGCAAUAAAUCCUGCUUGGGGCAAUAAAUCCAGAUUCCCUCC